This 363-nucleotide ribosomal RNA is filed under the name uncultured bacterium. RNAcentral's name for it is "bacterial SSU rRNA". It matches the Rfam family "Bacterial small subunit ribosomal RNA", at positions 1 to 376 of the family's 1533-position model. The record is from RNAcentral.
UCUGGUUGAUCCCUGGCGGAGGACGAACGCUGGCGGCGUGCUUAACACAUGCAAGUCAAGGAGAAAGUUUCCUUCGGGGAAUGAUUAAACUGGCGCACGGGUGAGUAAUAUAUAAGCAAUCUACCCUUAGGUUUGGGAUAACGUCGAGAAAUCGGCGCUAAUACCGAUAAUGCAGCGGCACCGCAUGGUGAUGUUGUUAACGUUCUGAAACGCCUAUGGAUGAGCUUGUAUUCUGAUUAGCUGUGGUGAGGUAAUGGCUCACCAAGGCUACGAUCAGUAACUGUCUGAAGGGUGUUCAGCCAAUGGACUGAGACCCGUCAGACUCCUACGGGGGCUUAGUGAGAAUUUGGCAUGGCAAAGCUU